AUUGCGUUAAUGAGAACAGAAACAUAAACUAUGACCUAGGGGUUUUUGUUGGAAAGUGAGCAAU
Molecule: non-coding RNA, 64 nt
Organism: Otolemur garnettii (small-eared galago)
Lineage: Eukaryota; Metazoa; Chordata; Mammalia; Primates; Galagidae
Source: Rfam